GAAGAAGCCAUGGAUUUAAUAAAUAGAGAAACAAUGUAUGAAUGGAAGCUACAAACUGUGAUACAGAUAAGUCAAUCUUGGGAAGAAGGCUUGAAACUGAAUGACAACGGCUUACAGAAAUCAUCCUCUCUAAAGCGCAUUGAUUUAAUUCCAGUAUCCUCAGUGGCUUCUUCCAUCAAGAAGACUGGGAAGAAGAAGUCAAAAUCCUACCAACAUUAUUAGACCAAGUAUCCUUGGACCAUUAAAAAGAAAAGGUGAAAUGGCAUUUCAAUAUCAACCAAGAAAGAUCUUCCAAGGCACAACCAACAUGCUUUCUUCUGAUACUUCCCAACUGUCAGAAAAUAAUGUGUGUCUACUUCCAGCUACUUUUGAUGGAAACAACAGCAAUGCUGGAUCUUCUGGUAAUUCGUCAGCUGAAAUCGGCACUGUCACAAACUCUCCUGU
Molecule: small RNA, 444 nt
Filed under: Pongo abelii (Sumatran orangutan)
Lineage: Eukaryota; Metazoa; Chordata; Mammalia; Primates; Hominidae
Description: processed transcript
Source: RNAcentral